CGGAUUCAUAAACAUCGAAAACUUCAGUUACUGUGUGCUGUGCCUCUGGAGAUAGCAAAGAUUUAAGCUCAGUUAGUGUAGGGUUUAAGAUGGAUGAACUUUCGGUUUUGAUUAUUAAUGCUGCUAUUGUUCUCAUCAAUGCCUGUGAAAUUGAACAACUGGAGAAGAUCCCGGGACAUUUUUCGCAACCUUUCUUUGCAUUUAUGAGGAAUCUGUGGGAAAAUGUUCGGAAUGCAAUGUCACUCGCAAGCCCUGUGGAUUCUAGACAAGGGGGAGACGUGUGUGUUAGCAACAUUAGAGUUAGUCAUGUGGCUGAGAGCCUCUUCCGGCUUUCGGUUUUCGCGUCUAGGAAUAUCUCGCCUUUGCCUUGUCGUGUGGUUGAGAGAGGGGUGUUUGGCUUCUCAGAGUCGGGUUUUAGAGAUUUCGUGUUGAACCACUGGGAGGUGUCACCGUUUCUUGUGAGGAGGAUGGCUGCAUGGAUUAGAGUUGAGGAGGAUGAUCUUUUCGGCCUGAUGCCAGUGAACUUGGUGUAGACAUAUCCUUUGUUUCUUUCUUCUAUGCUUCAGGGGAUGGUUUCUUGUCUUCCUAUUGUUUCAGACGAGUUGAACAUCCUUGCAUUUCUGGAGGAGGUGCAGAAUAUAUUGGGUUGUCCUCUAAUUUACCAGCAGGACAUUCGGGUUGUGAAAACAAUAUGCAAGAAGGAAGUGCAUUUCUUUGCGAACAGUCUGUCAUCUUGCAGUGUAAAGGAUACUCUUUGUCUUUGCACCGAGGAUGUUUCAAAAUGCGAGGAAGCUUAUAAAGAGGGUUAUACCGUGGAGUUACGCGGAAUGGAGUUCCGGUUUGACAGUGUUGCUGCUAUUGCAGAAGGAUUAGCAUCUGCUUUCGGUCAACCAUCUGUAGGUGCCAAUCUGUACUUGACACCACCAAAUUCUCAGGGUUUGGCUUGUCACUAUGAUGACCACUGUGUCUUUGUAUGCCAACUUGUUGGGAAUAAGAGAUGAAGAGUUUCUUCUCAGUUAAAUGAUCAGUUACCUCGAUUAUAUGACCCUCUUGAUAGACUAUAUGGUUCUGAAGUUCAUAACUUGAUGGAUGACUGCAAACAUUAUUUGCUUAGUGAAGGUGAUAUUUUGUAUAUCCCCAGAGGUGUUCUUCAUGAGGCAUGCAAUGAAAAUGUUAGUCUUGAUGGGUCUGCUAGCUGUUCCUUACACAUUACACUUGGUAUCGAGGUUGAACCUCCAUUCGAGUGGGAAGGAUUUGUUCAUGUUGCAUUCUUCAGUUGGUACCAGAACCAGAAACAAGUUAACAAUUCGUUUGAGUUUUCGUCUGGAGCAUUCAUGAUAUAUCUGUGAGUCUCUUCCAUGUUGCCAUUGGGUUGAUUGGUGAUUCGGAUCCUCCCUUUAGGAAGGCUUGCUUGGUUGCUUCGAUUUUUCCAUGGUCACAUACAUAUAUCUGGCUUGAUUUGAACCACGGAAUCAUUUUUUGUCAGCUGAUUGAUAAAAUUGGUGUUGGGAGUAGGUUCUUGGAAGUGUUUAGGAGCAUAGAAUUAGCAGUUCAGGAAAACAAGGAUCCCUUGCAACGGAUCAAAUGGCUCGGUAUUCUCAAUAUGGAGAAGGAAUGCAGCCCAAAUCAUUACCAGAAUAUACCUUUCAUGGGGAUGACAGCUCUACUGUCAUCAUGUAUCAAUACAACGAGGAUGUAGAAGCUGCAUUUUUCAGCAGCUUAAAUCUAGGUUUUGUGAAAACGUGAUAUUUGAGGAUGCAAUAGUUAGUUAUAAAUUACUGUUAGAUAGAUAUAGGAAGGUCAGGAAGCAAUAUAUGAAUGGAAUGGUUUCACUGCAUCAUCAAUUAUGAUGUAUAUAAGUAUAUUUCUUUAUUUUCCCUCCUUCAUACCCCACUAAUUUGUUCUGUUUCUAUUUGCUCCUGAGCGCUUCUGACAGGAUUGGGAGCUGACGGACAGGAAUGGAUCAAGCUAGCUACCUUGUCAUAUAUGAUUCUAAAUGUUAGAAGCAGAUUUAUAUCAAAGGUGGGCAGAUACUUUUCCCUUGUGCCUGAAAAUUUGGAAGCAGAUAAACCACUAUUCAUGCAUCAGAAGCCGUACCUUGUUCUUUGGAUUUUCAUGUUUCUUGUUGGUGAAUGACAUGCUCAGUUUCCUUAUUGGUUGUAUACUUACAUAAGAGGAACUGAUGCUAUAGGAAGAGAGAUAAAGAGCUGCGAUAAGGAAACAGAACAGAACCAUUUGCAAACUUUUCAUUGUUAUGAAGAUGUAAGCAUAUCCUUGGGGAGUGAAAAGUUAUAGGACCAAGUAUAUAUAGAUCAUUGUAGUGAUUGGAGCAAGAGAGGAUAAGCAUUAUUGAUCAAGUGGUAGGGGAACAUGUCUGAGCCCAUGCUUGUGAUUCUGUUGCUUAUGAAAAUGCGAGAGAUAGAAACAAGAUCGACCCAGAAGUUGUAGGCAGCAUUGUCUUUCCAAACUUACCUUGUGGCUUCUAAAAUCUCUGUUUAGGGGAGCCAUUCACCAUCGGUGUUGCAGAGUAGGUAAGGGAAAGAAACUGUUUUCACGUUUGUGUUUCAUAUCAAACAAAGCCUCUCACGACUAAAUUAUUCUUCAUGUUUUGUCUUCACCAAUAAGGACCAAUUCUGGUCAUAUCACUCCCCAGCUGUUGCCCCACUCUGAA
Long non-coding RNA from Argentina anserina (silverweed cinquefoil), 2671 nucleotides. RefSeq lists it as uncharacterized. The transcript is spliced from 3 exons. Lineage: Eukaryota; Viridiplantae; Streptophyta; Magnoliopsida; Rosales; Rosaceae. The record is from RefSeq and is a predicted model, not a curated record.